This 465-nucleotide ribosomal RNA is filed under the name uncultured bacterium. RNAcentral describes it as "partial 16S ribosomal RNA". It matches the Rfam family "Bacterial small subunit ribosomal RNA", at positions 338 to 795 of the family's 1533-position model. The record is from RNAcentral.
CCUACGGGAGGCAGCAGUGGGGAAUAUUGCGCAAUGGGCGAAAGCCUGACGCAGCGACGCCGCGUGAGGGAUGAAGGUCUUCGGAUCGUACACCUCUGUCAGCAGGGAAGAACGGUCACUGUGCUAAUCAGCAGUGAAUUGACGGUACCUGCAAAGGAAGCACCGGCUAACUCCGUGCCAGCAGCCGCGGUAAUACGGAGGGUGCGAGCGUUAAUCGGAAUUACUGGGCGUAAAGCGCUCGUAGGCGGUAGGUCAAGUCAAGGGUGAAAUCCCCGCGCUCAACGUGGGAACUGCCUUUGAUACGGGGCAACUGGAGUGUGUGAGAGGGUAGUAGAAUUCCAGGUGUAGGAGUGAAAUCCGUAGAGAUGGGGAGGAACAUCAGGGGCGAAGGCGACUAUCUGGCACAUAACUGACGCUGAGGAGCGAAAGCGUGGGGAGCAAACAGGAUUAGAUACCCGAGUAGUC